Amphimedon queenslandica is the source of this 346-nucleotide long non-coding RNA. RefSeq lists it as uncharacterized. The transcript has 2 exons. The record is from RefSeq and is a predicted model, not a curated record. Lineage: Eukaryota; Metazoa; Porifera; Demospongiae; Haplosclerida; Niphatidae.
CACGAAUGAACUGUGUCACUGUAUAGAGCCAACAAUUGAAAAGGUCAUAUCAACUCCAGAUUACUCAGCCACAGAGAUCAGUGAGUCCAAUGAUGAUCAACAAAAAGUUAUAUUGACUAUCAGGGAUCUGGUUGAGAUAUUACGAGUUUUAAAAGAUGGUAACUUUCAAACUAUCAAAUGGUUUGAUCUUGGUCUCUACUUGGGUCUGAUUCAUGAUGAUCUGAAGAUUAUUGAGGAUAACUAUCCACGAGAUGCUAAGCGAUGUCUCAGAGAAUGUUCAGCAUUAUGGCUCAGAGAUGAUAUUGAAGCAGCAUGGAACAAACUAGCUAUUGCUGCUGGUGAAGUA